RNAcentral lists this ribosomal RNA (277 nucleotides) under uncultured bacterium. RNAcentral describes it as "partial 16S ribosomal RNA". It matches the Rfam family "Bacterial small subunit ribosomal RNA", at positions 29 to 331 of the family's 1533-position model. The record is from RNAcentral.
AGCGAACGCUGGCGGCAGGCCUAACACAUGCAAGUCGAACGCUCGGGGCAACCCGAGAGUGGCAGACGGGUGAGUAACACGUGGGAACGUGCCCUUUGGUUCGGAACAACCCAGGGAAACUUGGGCUAAUACCGGAUAAGCCCUUACGGGGAAAGAUUUAUCGCCGAAGGAUCGGCCCGCGUCCGAUUAGCUAGUUGGUGGGGUAAUGGCCCACCAAGGCGACGAUCGGUAGCUGGUCUGAGAGGAUGAUCAGCCACACUGGGACUGAGACACGGCC